Molecule: ribosomal RNA, 497 nt
Filed under: uncultured bacterium
Lineage: Bacteria
Description: partial 16S ribosomal RNA
Rfam family: Bacterial small subunit ribosomal RNA
Source: RNAcentral
GAUGAACGCUGGCGGCGUGCCUAAUACAUGCAAGUCGAGCGAACGGACGAGAAGCUUGCUUCUCUGAUGUUAGCGGCGCACGGGUGAGUAACACGUGGAUAACCUACCUAUAAGACUGGGAUAACUUCGGGAAACCGGAGCUAAUACCGGAUGAUAUUUUGAACCGCAUGGUUCAAAAGUGAAAGACGGUCUUGCUGUCACUUAUAGAUGGAUCCGCGCUGCAUUAGCUAGUUGGUAAGGUAACGGCUCACCAAGGCAACGAUGCAUAGCCGACCUGAGAGGGUGAUCGGCCACACUGGAACUGAGACACGGUCCAGACUCCUACGGGAGGCAGCAGUAGGGAAUCUUCCGCAAUGGGCGAAAGCCUGACGGAGCAACGCCGCGUGAGUGAUGAAGGUCUUCGGAUCGUAAAACUCUGUUAUUAGGGAAGAACAUAUGUGUAAGUAACUGUGCACAUCUUGACGGUACCUAAUCAGAAAGCCACGGCUAACUACGUG